UGUAUUUAAAAAAUAAUACCUUAAACGUUAUUCUUUUAUAAUGUAUUAUCGAACAUAUUAUGGUACCGUAGCGUUAGCACAGACACAUUACUAGUAUCAGCUGGUGGGAUUAGUAGUUAGGAGUAAGGUAAAGAGAAAUUUGAAUAAGAGGGAAUGGAUGACAUAUGUUUUGUUAUAAGAUCAUACUUAUUUUAAGACAAAUUUAAAUAUAAAAUUACACUUGCAUAAAUAGUUUGAUCCGAGUAGAAUCAUUACGAUUCUACCUACUCAGCCGUUUUGCCUAAGUACUUUAAAAAACUUCACAGUUUCUACCAAGAUUGGUCGUAUAGUAUCUAUAUUUAUUUCACUGGUUAUACUUCAUAAUAAAAGGUUAACGUGGGUUAUCAAUACAAGACCCAUAGAAGCGGAACAUGCCAAAAGGCUUGAAGAAGUCAACAUACCCAACAAGUUUUUAGAGACCCAUAAGCCUUGAGUGGUGAUCAGAAGGAGCCCAAAAUUAUAUAAAAAUUAUUUUGUUUACUUUUUGUUGCAACUAUUACCUUGGCACCGACCAAACCAUGGAGCCGAAUCUCCAUUUGAUUGUAGAAGUAAAACUAAAAGAAAAGGUAAGUUCUUUUAAUAAUAUAACCUCAUCUGAAAAAUAGAACUCAUGUUUUUUGAGGGAUCAUGAUUAAAAUAAGAACUAAUUAUAACUGGUUUUGUUAAGAAAAGAGAUAAAUCAAUUGAAUAAUUAUGAUAGGUUAAGAUAAAACUAGGGCGAAUUAAUUCUACUACUAUUAGUACAGAGUAGCUUAAAAUGGAUGGAUGGAGCGGGGGAAGAGAGGAAAAUGGCGAUGUUGCCCUCCGAGAGACCGAGACCCGCAUAGUGUGGAGGUGGAGCUCUUGCAAGAAGAGUCAGCAAGCCUCCUCUUCGCGACACCCAAAGCUGUCCAAUACCGCAGGCCCGACGGCCAUGGAGACCGCCCUCUUCUCCGCCGCCUCUCUCUUCCACGACCCCGAUGACCCAGACGAGAUGCAGGUGGGCGCCGAAGCGGGGGCGCAGGCUAUGGAUUACGUGGAGAGAGUCCACGAGUUCCCUGGCAUGGAACUGAGCAUAAGGGAAUUCUCAUGUCAUCAGCUCAAUGCUAACCUGCUAUGGCCUGGGACCUUUUCAUUUGCUGAUUGGCUGGUGAAGAAUAAAUCAAUUCUGCAUGGGCGAAGGAUCCUUGAAUUAGGAAGUGGGACGGGAGCUUUGGCUAUUUUCCUGCGAAAGGCGUUUCAAGUGGACAUCACAACCUCUGAUUAUGAUGAUGAAGAGAUUGAAGAGAAUAUAGCAUACAACUGCAAAGCUAACAGUUUGGAUGUACUUCCUCAUAUCCGACAUACAUGGGGAGACCAGUUUCCAGUUCUCAUACCAGAUUGGGACAUUGUUAUCGCUAGUGACAUUUUGUUGUAUGUUAAACAAUAUCCAAACCUAGUCAGAACAUUAUCCUUUAUCCUGAAAGAACACAAGGGCAGCAGUCAGAAUACUGGCAAUACAGCCAUCACAAACAAAUCAGGAACUCAAGUACCUGUUAAGUUUCCCAUGUUUUUGAUGAGCUGGCGUAGAAGAAUUGGCAAGGAUUGGUGCCUCUUCUUCGAAGAAUGCAAAAAGGCAGGCCUGGAAGUACAGCAUCUGGGCGAUCUUGUGUACCUCAUCUACACCAAAUAGUAUCGAAAAUCCAGUGUAUCAUCGUUAGUGUUAGAUUGCUCAAAGGGUAACAGAGAAAGGUCUAAAUUCAGUCACGACAGUAAAAUGGAAAGGAAACAUGGAUUUUUCCCAAAUGGCAACAGAGAAAGGCCUAAAUUCAACUACACACAAGUAAAAUGAUUCGGGUGAGUUUAUACUGUUCUUCCGUACACAUUCCUGAAUGGUGAAACACUGAAAAUGCUAGGAUGAGAAACUGGGCAAGUGUAUCUGAUGUAUUUGGGCCAUGUAUUGUUUGCAGUAAAAUGGUGACAUUUACAGACUCUUGUAUUUGGUCCAUGUAUUGUUUGCAGUAAAAUGGUGACAUUUACGGACUCUUGUAA
Oryza brachyantha (malo sina) is the source of this 2049-nucleotide RNA transcript. It is a transcript of the gene named EEF1A lysine methyltransferase 3, with no coding region annotated. NCBI's taxonomy places the organism in Eukaryota, Viridiplantae, Streptophyta, Magnoliopsida, Poales, Poaceae. The transcript has 8 exons. The record is from RefSeq and is a predicted model, not a curated record.